This 388-nucleotide ribosomal RNA is filed under the name uncultured bacterium. Its description in RNAcentral is "bacterial SSU rRNA". It matches the Rfam family "Bacterial small subunit ribosomal RNA", at positions 28 to 417 of the family's 1533-position model. The record is from RNAcentral.
GACCAACGCUGGCGGCGUGCUUAACACAUGCAAGUCGAGCGGUAAGGCCCUUUCGGGGGUACACGAGCGGCGAACGGGUGAGUAACACGUGGGUGACCUGCCCUCAGCUCUGGGAUAAGCCUGGGAAACCGGGUCUAAUACUGGAUAUGACUCCAUGACGCAUGUUGUGGGGUGGAAAGCCUUGUGCGGCUGAGGAUGGGCCCGCGGCCUAUCAGCUUGUUGGUGGGGUGANGGCCUACCAAGGCGACGACGGGUAGCCGGCCUGAGAGGGCGACCGGCCACACUGGGACUGAGACACGGCCCAGACUCCUACGGGAGGCAGCAGUGGGGAAUCUUGCGCAAUGGGCGAAAGCCUGACGCAGCGACGCCGCGUGAGGGAUGACGGCCU